ACAUGUCUCACGGGGAGCCUAUGCGGGGCUGAGAGGUGGCAGGGCCACCGACCCGUCGAACCUGAUCCGGGUCAUGCCGGCGGAGGGAAUGAGCAUGCGACAUCGC
Molecule: non-coding RNA, 106 nt
Filed under: Microvirga lotononidis
Lineage: Bacteria; Pseudomonadati; Pseudomonadota; Alphaproteobacteria; Hyphomicrobiales; Methylobacteriaceae
Description: TPP sequence
Rfam family: TPP riboswitch aptamer (THI element)
About the family: Vitamin B(1) in its active form thiamin pyrophosphate (TPP) is an essential coenzyme that is synthesised by coupling of pyrimidine and thiazole moieties in bacteria. The previously detected thiamin-regulatory element, thi box was extended, resulting in a new, highly conserved RNA secondary structure, the THI element, which is widely distributed in eubacteria and also occurs in some archaea.
Source: RNAcentral